GGUAUGAUUUAUGAAUGAAACUUUUUAUAAUAAUUCACUUGCAAGAUACGAAUGAAAAUGUGUAGAACAUAUUAAUAACUAUAAUGUGAUUUUUCUAACUUAUUUCUGUAUUUGUAUUUGGUAAAGUAACUACUGAAAUAUCAUAGAAGCUGCUGCAACUCUCAACAACGCGCGGAGGCAUAAAUCUUUCCAAUGCUGUUCAUAUUCCAAUUCAUACAAAGGAGGAGCAUCUGGCAAAACUCUGAUGGUGAUCGGUCAUCAAGACCAAUGUUGCCAUAACACUAACAUCUGCAUUUUUAUGCAAAGGAAUUAUCUUAAUAUUAAACCAAAGCUUUUAAACCUUUUAAUUAAACCAAAUGUACAUAAAAUUAUAACACAAAUGUACCUAGUAUAAGAAAAAAUAUUAAACGCCUUUUAACCUUUUAAUUUAAGUCAGCAUCAACAUGAAACAACCGCUAGUAAGUACCAUGGAUCCGUUUAUACACAUGGCUAUAAUUUACUGAAGACAAUUUCGAAAGAAACGAACUCCCUGUUCCAAAAAGUUGCAAUAAUAAGCAAAAAAGACUAAAUAUGUUCUGAAGGAGAAAUAAACCGUCUUACUUGAUCAAUGAAUAAAGAUAACACAAAAAGGAUGGUUAGAUUAAUGUUAUGUAC
RNAcentral lists this long non-coding RNA (654 nucleotides) under Panax ginseng (ginseng). RNAcentral's name for it is "long non-coding RNA (PGIN_LNC014696)". Lineage: Eukaryota; Viridiplantae; Streptophyta; Magnoliopsida; Apiales; Araliaceae. The record is from RNAcentral.